CAGAGACUGAAAGGGUGGAAAGAAAAGGUUUUGUCUAUGCAACGCAAAGAGAUUCUCUUGAAAUCAGUAGCUCAAGCAAUACAAUCCUAUGCCAUGUCUGUGUUCAAGCUACCAAAGAGUAUAUGCAAGUCAAUAACAGAUGAAAUGUCAAGCUUUUGGUGGGGUGAUGAUGAAGAUGAAAAAAUGCAUUGGUAUGCAUGGUGGAAAAUGUGCAUCCUGAAGAAGGAAGGUGGAAUGGGAUUCAGAGACUUACACAUCUUUAAUCUUGCUAUGUUAGCAAAGCAGUGUUGGCAACCACUGGUAGAAAAAGGGCCUGUUGUCCCGGUUCGUAAGGGCCUUUAG
This 342-nucleotide ribosomal RNA is filed under the name Triticum aestivum (bread wheat). RNAcentral's name for it is "partial small subunit ribosomal RNA". Lineage: Eukaryota; Viridiplantae; Streptophyta; Magnoliopsida; Poales; Poaceae. The record is from RNAcentral.